This 467-nucleotide ribosomal RNA is filed under the name uncultured bacterium. RNAcentral's name for it is "bacterial SSU rRNA". It matches the Rfam family "Bacterial small subunit ribosomal RNA", at positions 329 to 793 of the family's 1533-position model. The record is from RNAcentral.
UUCCAGACUCCUACGGGAGGCAGCAGUGAGGAAUAUUGGUCAAUGGGCGGGAGCCUGAACCAGCCAAGUCGCGUGAGGGAUGACGGUCCUACGGAUUGUAAACCUCUUUUGCCGGGGAGCAACGGGCGUCACGUGUGGCGCCACUGAGAGUACCCGAAGAAAAAGCAUCGGCUAACUCCGUGCCAGCAGCCGCGGUAAUACGGAGGAUGCGAGCGUUAUCCGGAUUUAUUGGGUUUAAAGGGUGCGUAGGCGGGACGGUAAGUCAGCGGUAAAAAUGCGGAGCUCAACUCCGUCGAGCCGUUGAAACUGCCGUUCUUGAGUGAGCGAGAAGUAUGCGGAAUGCGUGGUGUAGCGGUGAAAUGCAUAGAUAUCGCGCAGAACUCCGAUUGCGAAGGCAGCAUGCCGGCUCCACACUGACGCUGAGGCACGAAAGCGUGGGUAUCGAACAGGAUUAGAUACCCUCGUAU